UUUGAUCCUGGCUCAGAUUGAACGCUGGCGGCAUGCCUUACACAUGCAAGUCGAACGGCAGCGCGGGAGCAAUCCUGGCGGCGAGUGGCGAACGGGUGAGUAAUACAUCGGAACGUGCCCAAUCGUGGGGGAUAACGCAGCGAAAGCUGUGCUAAUACCGCAUACGAUCUACGGAUGAAAGCAGGGGAUCGCAAGACCUUGCGCGAAUGGAGCGGCCGAUGGCAGAUUAGGUAGUUGGUGAGGUAAAGGCUCACCAAGCCUUCGAUCUGUAGCUGGUCUGAGAGGACGACCAGCCACACUGGGACUGAGACACGGCCCAGACUCCUACGGGAGGCAGCAGUGGGGAAUUUUGGACUAUGGGCGAAAGCCUGAUCCAGCCAUGCCGCGUGCAGGAUGAAGGCCUUCGGGUUGUAACUGCUUUUGUACGGAACGAAAAGUCUCUUUCUAAUAAAGAGGGAUCAUGACGGUACCGUAAGAAUAAGCACCGGCUAACUACGUGCCAGCAGCCGCGGUAAUACGUAGGGUGCAAGCGUUAAUCGGAAUUACUGAGCGUAAAGCGUGCGCAGGCGGUUAUGUAAGACAGUUGUGGAAUCCCCGGGCUCAACCUGGGAACUGCAUCUGUGACUGCAUAGCUAGAGUACGGUAGAGGGGGAUGGAAUUCCGCGUGUAGCAGUGAAAUGCGUAGAUAUGCGGAGGAACACCGAUGGCGAAGGCAAUCCCCUGGACCUGUACUGACGCUCAUGCACGAAAGCGUGGGGAGCAAACAGGAUUAGAUACCCUGGUAGUCCACGCCCUAAACGAUGUCAACUGGUUGUUGGGUCUUCACUGACUCAGUAACGAAGCUAACGCGUGAAGUUGACCGCCUGGGGAGUACGGCCGCAAGGUUGAACCUCAAAGGAAUUGACGGGGACCCGCACAAGCGGUGGAUGAUGUGGUUUAAUUCGAUGCAACGCGAAAAACCUUACCCACCUUUGACAUGUACGGAAUUUGCCAGAGAUGGCUUAGUGCUUGAAAGAGAGCCGUAACACAGGUGCUGCAUGGCUGUCGUCAGCUCGUGUCGUGAGAUGUUGGGUUAAGUCCCGCAACGAGCGCAACCCUUGUCAUUAGUUGCUACAUUUAGUUGGGCACUCUAAUGAGACUGCCGGUGACAAACCGGAGGAAGGUGGGGAUGACGUCAAGUCCUCAUGGCCCUUAUAGGUGGGGCUACACACGUCAUACAAUGGCUGGUACAAAGGGUUGCCAACCCGCGAGGGGGAGCUAAUCCCAUAAAACCAGUCGUAGUCCGGAUCGCAGUCUGCAACUCGACUGCGUGAAGUCGGAAUCGCUAGUAAUCGUGGAUCAGAAUGUCACGGUGAAUACGUUCCCGGGUCUUGUACACACCGCCCGUCACACCAUGGGAGCGGGUUCUGCCAGAAGUAGUUAGCCUAACCGCAAGGAGGGCGAUUACCACGGCAGGGUUCGUGACUGGGGUGAAGUCGUAACAAGGUA
Molecule: ribosomal RNA, 1488 nt
Filed under: metagenome
Description: bacterial SSU rRNA
Rfam family: Bacterial small subunit ribosomal RNA
Source: RNAcentral